Solea solea (common sole) is the source of this 2482-nucleotide long non-coding RNA. RefSeq lists it as uncharacterized. NCBI's taxonomy places the organism in Eukaryota, Metazoa, Chordata, Actinopteri, Pleuronectiformes, Soleidae. The record is from RefSeq and is a predicted model, not a curated record. The transcript has 3 exons.
UUGAGGAUUCACAAAAUACACGCCUACAAAAUGACUUGAUGAAUUUGACGCAUUUUGCGGAUUCUUCUGACGAACUUUGUUGAAAUUCAGCUGCUAAUUCAUCAUCUUUACUUGAGUCUGAGAAACGACUGAACAGGGAGGCUGCGCCGCUUCAUGCUGAGAUGUUUCUCGACACCUGAGGCUCACCGGGGAGACAGUAACUCAUCGAGUCAACUUGGAGAUGAACUUUAAAGGAAGGUGUAACGAAUGAUCGCAGCCUCUCCGGCAAGUCAUAUCUGCUGAAGUGCCAUAACCCUCUAAAUAUCCUGACCUCAAUCUGGAGUCUGCAUGUUGAAGGCCCAUCGGAGAGGGAUGGUAUCGAUCUGAGCAGCAACUCUGGCAGCGUCUAUAAACAACCGGCUUCAGGCUUCAAGGCUGAGGAGACACAUCUCUAUUUCAGCUGGAGGGUUUGCAUCUGGAUACCUGAGUUGGGAUGUGGCACUGGACAGAUGGUGGGAUUUCUUUUUUCUUUGCUGAACUCACAGCAGGUCCAGCUCAUUUGUGAGACCAGAGCCAGUGAUAUCCUCCGUAGUGCUGGUUCUAUCAAGGUAAAUAAGGCCUCGAACCACAAGCUCCACAUGUUUUGCUUUAAAUAAUCACAUUAAUGUUAAAGAGUAUUGUAAAUAGAAAGCUACAAAGCAACAGUCAAUAUGUGGACGAGUGAUCAAUUCCUAACCAGCAGACAAAUAGUGUUUGAAGAUCUUCUAUAUCAGCAUUACAGUGACAGCCGACGUAGUGACUUUGGGGUCAUUAAUCAAUAAACACAAGCCAAGCAAUAUAUUUGACGUAGACUAAUUAAAUAAUAAUAAUCAUCAUCAUCAGGCAAAACAAACACAUUCUACAUUUGAACACAAAACACCAAAACAAACCCACAGUAAAUAUUGGGCAACCGUGUCAGACUAUUAUGUUGCUGUCUUGUUUACUUGCCUUCCCCUCUUUGUUUAGAAAGUUAAAUAAGUGUGCCUCAUAUAUUUAGAGUCAAACUGAGCUCACUCCCUGCUAAGCAGCUUGUCAAUAGGAAGGAAAGAGGUACAGGGCAAGAGGGGAGGUCUGAUAAAAUGGCUUUUAAUUACCAGACAGUGAAUGCUGGCCUUCCUUUUCUACUUUCUCCUCCCAGCUAAGUCAGGACUUUGAUUUCUGAUAAUGUGGAUUGCUGACUGGGCUUCAUCCUAGUUGCCCCUAAAGCAGAAGGACCUCACGUCAAGUCCUGGGAGAGUGUGUUUGACAAAGUGCCAUAUAGAUCCCCUGUAUUUCAUCAGAGGGCAGUGCUGCUCGAAGCAUUAAUCAGAUCAUUUGAUAGCCCGGCUUUGUUUCCCCUCUUUACUCUCCUGUAACAAUUAGGCAAAGUAAUAAUUCCAGGCAUCACAUGGAAAUCAAUGAGUCUUUAACCCAGCUGCUCGUACACGUGUAAAUGAUGAGAUCACUUCAGUUGCAAGUCGAUGGAAUGAAUUCACGCUCACUGGCCACUUUAUUAGGCACACCCAUCCAACUGCUUGUUAAGACAAAUAUCUAAUUAGCCUAUCACAUGGCAGUAACUCAAUGCACUUAGGCAUGUCGACAUGGUCAAGACAACCAUCACAUCAGAAGUUCAAACUGCUCAGCAACCUCUCAUUACCACCAGGAUAAGUAGAACACACAAGACUUGAAACAGAUGGGCUGCGGCAGAAGAAGACAGCACCAGGUGCCAUGACUGACACUAGCCUUGUGUACCUAAUAAAGUGGUCACAGAGUGUAUAACCUCUGCAAGAUACAGCAGAUAGGUUGGUAGGUGGGUAAACUGGUAGACAUGUGGGCAGUCAGGUAGAUUGCGACAUACCUACAUCGGUAGGUACCUACCUAUCUAGGUAUCACUACCUACCAAUAUAGCCACCAUAGCUAGGUCGCUAGGUAGACUGUCCAGUUGGUUUGGGGCUAGGUAGCUAGGCUAAAUAGCCCACCUACUUAGCCGUUCAGGAUUUAACACUCACAAGCUGCAGCAUGGAGCAGAACCUUUUUGCACCUGGUGAGCAAUGGGAAUUGGAUGCCUUGCCCAGGGGCACCCCAGCUCUUGCAGUUUGAAGUGGCCAUGGGCAACCCAUAGGCAGGUCCUAGCUAGGGAGGUAGGUGGGUGGAUAUAUGGCUAGGUAAGUAGGUAGAGCAGUAGGUAAGUAGGUAACCCUAACCCUAACUGGUACACAUGUGAGCAGGCAGGUAGGUAGCUACAUACCUACCUAUUUAGGUAGCUUUCCAGCUACCUACCUAUAGCCACCAUACUGUAGGUAGCUAGGUAGACUGUCCAGUAGGUAGGUGCUUCGGUAGCUAGGCUAAAUAGCCAACCUACUUAGCCGUUCAGGAUUUAACACUCACAAGGCGGGCGCAGCAGCAGGGUGCAUCACCUGGGGAGCAACGUGGAUUGGCCAUAGGUAUGUCCUAGCUAGGUAAGUAGGUGGAGCAGUAGGUGGGU